ACUAUAGCUAUAGUUUCUCUUCUCCACCGUCAUCAUCAACCGAUUAAUCAAUCUCAAAAAAUGUUAAGCUCUCAGAUUCAGAAGCUAAAUUCAACCAAACCCUUUUCUCUUUUGCCACCAAAACCUUCUCUUUCUAGCCAUGGAAACACAUCUUCCUUCCCUAUUUGUUAUAAGCAGCAGAAACGUUUAUUCCCUAAGAAAAACCCAAGCCUUAU
This 215-nucleotide unclassified non-coding RNA is filed under the name Hevea brasiliensis (rubber tree). Lineage: Eukaryota; Viridiplantae; Streptophyta; Magnoliopsida; Malpighiales; Euphorbiaceae. The record is from RNAcentral.